ACAUACAACCAUAGAUUGAGGAAAAUUGGGCAUCCCGUCCGCUCUGCCAUACACAAGCCCCAAAUUGGCAGUCUAGUUGUUGGGUGGGUGACCACCAGCGAAUCCCUGCUGUUGUAUAAU
This 120-nucleotide ribosomal RNA is filed under the name Blumeria graminis f. sp. tritici. RNAcentral also lists the same sequence under 1 other name. Lineage: Eukaryota; Fungi; Ascomycota; Leotiomycetes; Helotiales; Erysiphaceae. The record is from RNAcentral.